Molecule: microRNA precursor, 68 nt
Filed under: Ovis aries (sheep)
Lineage: Eukaryota; Metazoa; Chordata; Mammalia; Artiodactyla; Bovidae
Description: miRNA (ENSOARG00000023628.1)
Source: RNAcentral
GUGUGUGUAUGUGUGUGUGUUUGUGUGUGUAUAUAUAUAUAUAUAUACAUACAUACAUACACACAUAC